GCGGGAAUAGCUCAGCUGGUAGAGCACGACCUUGCCAAGGUCGGGGUCGCGAGUUCGAAUCUCGUUUCCCGCUCCA
This 76-nucleotide transfer RNA is filed under the name Psychrobacter phenylpyruvicus. Its description in RNAcentral is "tRNA-Gly(gcc)". It matches the Rfam family "tRNA". From Rfam's summary of the family: Transfer RNA (tRNA) molecules are approximately 80 nucleotides in length. Lineage: Bacteria; Pseudomonadati; Pseudomonadota; Gammaproteobacteria; Moraxellales; Moraxellaceae. The record is from RNAcentral. RNAcentral also lists the same sequence under 73 other names.